This 886-nucleotide small RNA is filed under the name Pongo abelii (Sumatran orangutan). RNAcentral describes it as "retained intron". Lineage: Eukaryota; Metazoa; Chordata; Mammalia; Primates; Hominidae. The record is from RNAcentral.
GGACAGAGUUCAACUUGAUGUAUGCCUACUCCCCUUUGAACGCUAUGCCUCGAGCAGAUGGACUGUAUCGAGGAUCUCCUCUAGUGGGGGAUAGGAAACCUUUACAUUUGGAUGGGGGAUAUUGUUCCCCUGCAGAAGGAUUUUCCAGCAGAUAUGAACAUGGCUUAAUGAAAGACCUCUCUCGUGGAUCCUUGUCACCUGGUGGUGAAAGGGCCUGUGAAGGAGUCCCAUCUGCCCCCCAGAACCCACCACAGAGGAAAAAAGUAUCCCUGCUGGAGUACCGAAAACGGAAACAAGAAGCUAAGGAAAAUUCUGCUGGUGGGGGAGGUGACUCUGCACAGAGCAAAAGCAAGUCUGCAGGAGCUGGGCAAGGCAGCAGUAACUCCGUUUCUGACACUGGUGCCCAUGGUGUGCAGGGAUCCUCAGCCCGAACUCCAUCUUCCCCUCACAAAAAAUUCUCCCCAUCUCAUUCCUCUAUGUCCCAUUUGGAGGCGGUAAGCCCAUCAGAUUCCAGAGGCACUUCUUCAUCUCACUGCAGACCUCAAGAGAAUAUCAGCAGUAGGUGGAUGGUUCCCACAUCAGUAGAACGACUCCGAGAAGGAGGGAGCAUCCCCAAGGUCCUCCGAAGCAGUGUGAGGGUGGCCCAAAAGGGAGAGCCCUCUCCCACGUGGGAGAGUAACAUCACAGAGAAAGACUCAGGUGAGCCCAUGGCCUUCUACUGCCACCACAUUCAGGGACACAUGAGCCAAGUCCUGUACAGUUCAUGCCUAUUGCUGAGUUGAGGUGAGUCAGUUUCUGAUGCAGUUGGGCUCUGCCGUAUGCUAGGUUCCAGCCCACUUAUGCUCAUUUGGGCUACAACAUUUGUAAGAUCUAGCGUUGCUUGCUC